This 67-nucleotide small RNA is filed under the name Bacillus sp. OxB-1. RNAcentral's name for it is "Bacillaceae-1 RNA". It matches the Rfam family "Bacillaceae-1 RNA". Lineage: Bacteria; Bacillati; Bacillota; Bacilli; Caryophanales; Bacillaceae. The record is from Rfam by way of RNAcentral.
CGACAAGCACUGGCCGACUAAAACCGCCGCGUCCUGCGGCAACGUCGGCACUAGGACGUCCUGUACG